UACGUAGGUGGCGAGCGUUGUCCGGAUUUACUGGGGUAAAGGGAGCGUAGGCGGACUUUUAAGUGAGAUGUGAAAUACCCGGGCUCAACUUGGGUGCUGCAUUUCAAACUGGAAGUCUAGAGUGCAGGAGAGGAGAAUGGAAUUCCUAGUGUAGCGGUGAAAUGCGUAGAGAUAGGAAGAACACCAGUGGCGAAGGCGAUUCUCUGGACUGUAACUGACGCUGAGGCUCGAAAGCGUGGGAGCAAACAGGAUUAGAUACCCGGGUAGU
RNAcentral lists this ribosomal RNA (268 nucleotides) under uncultured prokaryote. RNAcentral's name for it is "partial 16S ribosomal RNA". It matches the Rfam family "Bacterial small subunit ribosomal RNA", at positions 524 to 794 of the family's 1533-position model. The record is from RNAcentral.